RNAcentral lists this ribosomal RNA (496 nucleotides) under uncultured bacterium. Its description in RNAcentral is "bacterial SSU rRNA". It matches the Rfam family "Bacterial small subunit ribosomal RNA", at positions 29 to 521 of the family's 1533-position model. The record is from RNAcentral.
AUUGAACGCUGGCGGCAUGCUUUACACAUGCAAGUCGAACGGUAACAGGCCUUCGGGUGCUGACGAGUGGCGAACGGGUGAGUAAUGCAUCGGAACGUGCCCAAUCGUGGGGGAUAACGUAGCGAAAGUUACGCUAAUACCGCAUAAGCCCUGAGGGGGAAAGUGGGGGACCGCAAGGCCUCACGCGAAUGGAGCGGCCGAUGUCAGAUUAGCUAGUUGGUGGGGUAAAGGCCCACCAAGGCGACGAUCUGUAGCGGGUCUGAGAGGAUGAUCCGCCACACUGGGACUGAGACACGGCCCAGACUCCUACGGGAGGCAGCAGUGGGGAAUUUUGGACAAUGGGCGCAAGCCUGAUCCAGCCAUGCCGCGUGCGUGAAGAAGGCCUGCGGGUUGUAAAGCACUUUCAGUGGGGAAGAACAGAUUUGGGUCAAUACCCCGGAGCCCUGACGUUACCCACAGAAGAAGCACCGGCUAACUCCGUGCCAGCAGCCGCGGU